This 494-nucleotide ribosomal RNA is filed under the name uncultured bacterium. RNAcentral describes it as "partial 16S ribosomal RNA". It matches the Rfam family "Bacterial small subunit ribosomal RNA", at positions 28 to 507 of the family's 1533-position model. The record is from RNAcentral.
GACGAACGCUGGCGACGUGCUUUAGGCACGCAAGUCGAACGCGAAAGCCCCUUCGGGGGUGAGUAGAGUGGCGAACGGGUGAGUAACACGUGGGUAACCUGCCCCUCGCAGGGGGAUAACCGGGGGAAACCCCGGCUAAUACCCCGUACGCUUGCUGGGGCGCAUGCUCCGGCAAGGAAAGGUAGCUUCGGCCAUCCGGCGAGGGAGGGGCCCGCGGCCCAUUAGCUAGUUGGUGGGGUAACGGCCCACCAAGGCGACGAUGGGUAGCUGGCCUGAGAGGGUGGUCAGCCACACUGGGACUGAGACACGGCCCAGACUCCUACGGGAGGCAGCAGCCAGGAAUCUUGCGCAAUGGGCGAAAGCCUGACGCAGCAACGCCGCGUGGGCGAUGAAGGCCUUCGGGUCGUAAAGCCCUGUUGUCGGGGACGAAGGGCGAAGGGUUAAUAGCCCCUAGCCUGACGGUACCCGACGAGGAAGCCCCGGCUAACUACGUG